UGUAUAUGUGUGUGUGUGUGUGUGUGUGUGUGUGUGUGUGUGUGUGUGUGUGUACAUACACACACACACACACACAUAUAUAUAUA
Molecule: non-coding RNA, 86 nt
Organism: Podarcis lilfordi (Lilford's wall lizard)
Lineage: Eukaryota; Metazoa; Chordata; Lepidosauria; Squamata; Lacertidae
Source: the annotation of a GenBank genome assembly